CCUAUGGGGGGCACCAGGCGCGAAAACUUUACAAUGCGGGCAACCGUGAUAAGGGAACCUCGAGUGCCUGUAUAUGCAGGCUGUCCAGGUGUCUAAAACACACCUGAAGAAAGGGCCGGGCAAGACCGGUGCCAGCCGCCGCGGUAAUACCGGCGGCUCGAGUGGUGGCCGCUUUUAUUGGGCUUAAAGCGUUCGUAGCUGGGUCGUUAAGUCUCUUGGGAAAUCCGGCAGCUCAACUGUCGGGCGUCUAAGAGAUACUGGCGAUCUUGGAACCGGGAGAGGUGAGGGGUACUUCGGGGGUAGGAGUGAAAUCCUGUAAUCCUCGAGGGACCACCUGUGGCGAAGGCGCCUCACCAGAACGGCUUCGACAGUGAGGGACGAAAGCUGGGGGAGCAAACCGGAUUAGAUACCCAAGUAGUCC
Molecule: ribosomal RNA, 421 nt
Filed under: uncultured Methanoculleus sp.
Lineage: Archaea; Methanobacteriati; Methanobacteriota; Methanomicrobia; Methanomicrobiales; Methanomicrobiaceae
Description: bacterial SSU rRNA
Rfam family: Archaeal small subunit ribosomal RNA
Source: RNAcentral